This 466-nucleotide ribosomal RNA is filed under the name Vreelandella stevensii. Its description in RNAcentral is "partial 16S ribosomal RNA". It matches the Rfam family "Bacterial small subunit ribosomal RNA", at positions 338 to 796 of the family's 1533-position model. Lineage: Bacteria; Pseudomonadati; Pseudomonadota; Gammaproteobacteria; Oceanospirillales; Halomonadaceae. The record is from RNAcentral.
CCUACGGGGGGCAGCAGUGGGGAAUAUUGGACAAUGGGGGGAACCCUGAUCCAGCCAUGCCGCGUGUGUGAAGAAGGCCCUCGGGUUGUAAAGCACUUUCAGUGAGGAAGAACGCCUGGUGGUUAAUACCCAUCAGGAAAGACAUCACUCACAGAAGAAGCACCGGCUAACUCCGUGCCAGCAGCCGCGGUAAUACGGAGGGUGCGAGCGUUAAUCGGAAUUACUGGGCGUAAAGCGCGCGUAGGUGGCUUGAUAAGCCGAUUGUGAAAGCCCCGGGCUCAACCUGGGAACGGCAUCCGGAACUGUCAAGCUAGAGUGCAGGAGAGGAAGGUAGAAUUCCCGGUGUAGCGGUGAAAUGCGUAGAGAUCGGGAGGAAUACCAGUGGCGAAGGCGGCCUUCUGGACUGACACUGACACUGAGGUGCGAAAGCGUGGGUAGCAAACAGGAUUAGAUACCCGAGUAGUCC